This 629-nucleotide ribosomal RNA is filed under the name Fusarium proliferatum. RNAcentral describes it as "eukaryotic LSU rRNA". It matches the Rfam family "Eukaryotic large subunit ribosomal RNA", at positions 243 to 898 of the family's 3401-position model. Lineage: Eukaryota; Fungi; Ascomycota; Sordariomycetes; Hypocreales; Nectriaceae. The record is from RNAcentral.
UCUGUAAAGUUCCUUCGACGAGUCGAGUAGUUUGGGAGUGCUGCUCUAAAUGGGAGGUAUAUGUCUUCUAAAGCUAAAUACCGGCCAGAGACCGAUAGCGCACAAGUAGAGUGAUCGAAAGAUGAAAAGCACUUUGAAAAGAGAGUUAAAAAGUACGUGAAAUUGUUGAAAGGGAAGCGUUUAUGACCAGACUUGGGCUUGGUUAAUCAUCUGGGGUUCUCCCCAGUGCACUUUUCCAGUCCAGGCCAGCAUCAGUUUUCCCCGGGGGAUAAAGACUUCGGGAAUGUGGCUCUCUUCGGGGAGUGUUAUAGCCCGUUGUGUAAUACCCUGGGGGGGACUGAGGUUCGCGCAUCUGCAAGGAUGCUGGCGUAAUGGUCAUCAACGACCCGUCUUGAAACACGGACCAAGGAGUCGUCUUCGUAUGCGAGUGUUCGGGUGUCAAACCCCUACGCGUAAUGAAAGUGAACGCAGGUGAGAGCUUCGGCGCAUCAUCGACCGAUCCUGAUGUUCUCGGAUGGAUUUGAGUAAGAGCAUACGGGGCCGGACCCGAAAGAAGGUGAACUAUGCCUGUAUAGGGUGAAGCCAGAGGAAACUCUGGUGGAGGCUCGCAGCGGUUCUGACGUGCAAAU